AUUGAACGCUGGCGGCAGGCCUAACACAUGCAAGUCGAGCGGAUGAAGGGAGCUUGCUCCUGGAUUCAGCGGCGGACGGGUGAGUAAUGCCUAGGAAUCUGCCUGGUAGUGGGGGAUAACGUUCGGAAACGGGCGCUAAUACCGCAUACGUCCUGAGGGAGAAAGUGGGGGAUCUUCGGACCUCACGCUAUCAGAUGAGCCUAGGUCGGAUUAGCUAGUUGGUGGGGUAAAGGCCUACCAAGGCGACGAUCCGUAACUGGUCUGAGAGGAUGAUCAGUCACACUGGAACUGAGACACGGUCCAGACCCCUACGGGAGGCAGCAGUGGGGAAUAUUGGACAAUGGGCGAAAGCCUGAUCCAGCCAUGCCGCGUGUGUGAAGAAGGUCUUCGGAUUGUAAAGCACUUUAAGUUGGGAGGAAGGGCAGUAAGUUAAUACCUUGCUGUUUUGACGUUACCAACAGAAUAAGCACCGGCUAACUUCGUG
RNAcentral lists this ribosomal RNA (484 nucleotides) under uncultured bacterium. RNAcentral describes it as "partial 16S ribosomal RNA". It matches the Rfam family "Bacterial small subunit ribosomal RNA", at positions 30 to 507 of the family's 1533-position model. The record is from RNAcentral.